RNAcentral lists this ribosomal RNA (2992 nucleotides) under Salmonella enterica subsp. enterica. Its description in RNAcentral is "23S ribosomal RNA". It matches the Rfam family "Bacterial large subunit ribosomal RNA". Lineage: Bacteria; Pseudomonadati; Pseudomonadota; Gammaproteobacteria; Enterobacterales; Enterobacteriaceae. The record is from RNAcentral. RNAcentral also lists the same sequence under 1 other name.
GGUUAAGCGACUAAGCGUACACGGUGGAUGCCCUGGCAGUCAGAGGCGAUGAAGGGCGUGCUAAUCUGCGAUAAGCGCCGGUAAGGUGAUAUGAACCGUUAUAACCGGCGAUACCCGAAUGGGGAAACCCAGUGUGAUUCGUCACACUAUCAUUAACUGAAUCCAUAGGUUAAUGAGGCGAACCGGGGGAACUGAAACAUCUAAGUACCCCGAGGAAAAGAAAUCAACCGAGAUUCCCCCAGUAGCGGCGAGCGAACGGGGAGGAGCCCAGAGCCUGAAUCAGCAUGUGUGUUAGUGGAAGCGUCUGGAAAGGCGCGCGAUACAGGGUGACAGCCCCGUACACAAAAGCGCAUGUGCUGUGAGCUCGAUGAGUAGGGCGGGACACGUGGUAUCCUGUCUGAAUAUGGGGGGACCAUCCUCCAAGGCUAAAUACUCCUGACUGACCGAUAGUGAACCAGUACCGUGAGGGAAAGGCGAAAAGAACCCCGGCGAGGGGAGUGAAAAAGAACCUGAAACCGUGUACGUACAAGCAGUGGGAGCACAGGUUUACCUGUGUGACUGCGUACCUUUUGUAUAAUGGGUCAGCGACUUAUAUUCUGUAGCAAGGUUAACCGUAUAGGGGAGCCGUAGGGAAACCGAGUCUUAACCGGGCGUUAAGUUGCAGGGUAUAGACCCGAAACCCGGUGAUCUAGCCAUGGGCAGGUUGAAGGUUGGGUAACACUAACUGGAGGACCGAACCGACUAAUGUUGAAAAAUUAGCGGAUGACCUGUGGCUGGGGGUGAAAGGCCAAUCAAACCGGGAGAUAGCUGGUUCUCCCCGAAAGCUAUUUAGGUAGCGCCUCGUGAAUUCAUCUCCGGGGGUAGAGCACUGUUUCGGCUAGGGGGCCAUCCCGGCUUACCAACCCGAUGCAAACUGCGAAUACCGGAGAAUGUUAUCACGGGAGACACACGGCGGGUGCUAACGUCCGUCGUGAAGAGGGAAACAACCCAGACCGCCAGCUAAGGUCCCAAAGUCAUGGUUAAGUGGGAAACGAUGUGGGAAGGCCCAGACAGCCAGGAUGUUGGCUUAGAAGCAGCCAUCAUUUAAAGAAAGCGUAAUAGCUCACUGGUCGAGUCGGCCUGCGCGGAAGAUGUAACGGGGCUAAACCAUGCACCGAAGCUGCGGCAGCGAACGUAUCACCCAAGACAACUUUACGGAGUUGACGAUUGACGGAGCGAAGCGACGUCAAAGCGUUCAUUAAAGUCGAGUUGGCUUAGGGAUACGUUCGUUGGGUAGGGGAGCGUUCUGUAAGCCUGUGAAGGUGUGUCGUGAGGCAUGCUGGAGGUAUCAGAAGUGCGAAUGCUGACAUAAGUAACGAUAAAGCGGGUGAAAAGCCCGCUCGCCGGAAGACCAAGGGUUCCUGUCCAACGUUAAUCGGGGCAGGGUGAGUCGACCCCUAAGGCGAGGCCGAAAGGCGUAGUCGAUGGGAAACGGGUUAAUAUUCCCGUACUUGGUGUUACUGCGAAGGGGGGACGGAGAAGGCUAUGUUGGCCGGGCGACGGUUGUCCCGGUUUAAGCGUGUAGGUGUGUGUUCCAGGUAAAUCCGGUUCACUUUAACACUGAGGCGUGAUGACGAGGCACUACGGUGCUGAAGCAACAAAUGCCCUGCUUCCAGGAAAAGCCUCUAAGCAUCAGGUAACAUCAAAUCGUACCCCAAACCGACACAGGUGGUCAGGUAGAGAAUACCAAGGCGCUUGAGAGAACUCGGGUGAAGGAACUAGGCAAAAUGGUGCCGUAACUUCGGGAGAAGGCACGCUGACACGUAGGUGAAGUGAUUUACUCAUGGAGCUGAAGUCAGUCGAAGAUACCAGCUGGCUGCAACUGUUUAUUAAAAACACAGCACUGUGCAAACACGAAAGUGGACGUAUACGGUGUGACGCCUGCCCGGUGCCGGAAGGUUAAUUGAUGGGGUCAGCGCAAGCGAAGCUCCUGAUCGAAGCCCCGGUAAACGGCGGCCGUAACUAUAACGGUCCUAAGGUAGCGAAAUUCCUUGUCGGGUAAGUUCCGACCUGCACGAAUGGCGUAAUGAUGGCCAGGCUGUCUCCACCCGAGACUCAGUGAAAUUGAACUCGCUGUGAAGAUGCAGUGUACCCGCGGCAAGACGGAAAGACCCCGUGAACCUUUACUAUAGCUUGACACUGAACAUUGAGCCUUGAUGUGUAGGAUAGGUGGGAGGCUUUGAAGCGUGGACGCCAGUCUGCGUGGAGCCGACCUUGAAAUACCACCCUUUAAUGUUUGAUGUUCUAACGUGGACCCGUGAUCCGGGUUGCGGACAGUGUCUGGUGGGUAGUUUGACUGGGGCGGUCUCCUCCUAAAGAGUAACGGAGGAGCACGAAGGUUGGCUAAUCCUGGUCGGACAUCAGGAGGUUAGUGCAAUGGCAUAAGCCAGCUUGACUGCGAGCGUGACGGCGCGAGCAGGUGCGAAAGCAGGUCAUAGUGAUCCGGUGGUUCUGAAUGGAAGGGCCAUCGCUCAACGGAUAAAAGGUACUCCGGGGAUAACAGGCUGAUACCGCCCAAGAGUUCAUAUCGACGGCGGUGUUUGGCACCUCGAUGUCGGCUCAUCACAUCCUGGGGCUGAAGUAGGUCCCAAGGGUAUGGCUGUUCGCCAUUUAAAGUGGUACGCGAGCUGGGUUUAGAACGUCGUGAGACAGUUCGGUCCCUAUCUGCCGUGGGCGCUGGAGAACUGAGGGGGGCUGCUCCUAGUACGAGAGGACCGGAGUGGACGCAUCACUGGUGUUCGGGUUGUCAUGCCAAUGGCACUGCCCGGUAGCUAAAUGCGGAAGAGAUAAGUGCUGAAAGCAUCUAAGCACGAAACUUGCCCCGAGAUGAGUUCUCCCUGAGACUUAAAGUCUCCUGAAGGAACGUUGAAGACGACGACGUUGAUAGGCCGGGUGUGUAAGCGCAGCGAUGCGUUGAGCUAACCGGUACUAAUGAACCGUGAGGCUUAACCUU